AUGAACGCUGGCGGCGUGCCUAAUACCUGCAAGUCGAGCGAACAGAUGAGGAGCUUGCUCCUCUGACGUUAGCGGCGGACGGGUGAGUAACACGUGGAUAACUUACCUAUAAGACUGGGAUAACUUCGGGAAACCGGAGCUAAUACCGGAUAAUAUAUUGAACCGCAUGGUUCAAUAGUGAAAGACGGUUUUGCUGUCACUUAUAGAUGGAUCCGCGCCGCAUUAGCUAGUUGGUAAGGUAACGGCUUACCAAGGCAACGAUGCGUAGCCGACCUGAGAGGGUGAUCGGCCACACUGGAACUGAGACACGGUCCAGACUCCUACGGGAGGCAGCAGUAGGGAAUCUUCCGCAAUGGGCGAAAGCCUGACGGAGCAACGCCGCGUGAGUGAUGAAGGUCUUCGGAUCGUAAAACUCUGUUAUUAGGGAAGAACAAAUGUGUAAGUAACUAUGCACGUCUUGACGGUACCUAAUCAGAAAGCCACGGCUAACUACGUG
This 496-nucleotide ribosomal RNA is filed under the name uncultured bacterium. RNAcentral's name for it is "partial 16S ribosomal RNA". It matches the Rfam family "Bacterial small subunit ribosomal RNA", at positions 29 to 507 of the family's 1533-position model. The record is from RNAcentral.